ACGUAGGUUCCGAGCGUUAUCCGGAUUUACUGGGCGUAAAGCGCGUUCAGGCGGUUUGGCAAGUCGGGCAUGAAAUCUCUCGGCUCAACCGGGAGAGGUUGUCCGAUACUGCUGGACUUGAGGGCAGUAGAGGGUGGUGGAAUUCCGGGUGUAGCGGUGGAAUGCGUAGAGAUCCGGAGGAAGACCGGUGGCGAAGGCGGUCUGCUGGGCA
This 211-nucleotide ribosomal RNA is filed under the name uncultured bacterium. Its description in RNAcentral is "partial 16S ribosomal RNA". It matches the Rfam family "Bacterial small subunit ribosomal RNA", at positions 525 to 735 of the family's 1533-position model. The record is from RNAcentral.